Molecule: ribosomal RNA, 446 nt
Filed under: uncultured bacterium
Lineage: Bacteria
Description: bacterial SSU rRNA
Rfam family: Bacterial small subunit ribosomal RNA
Source: RNAcentral
GAUGAACGCUGGCGGCGCGCCUAACACAUGCAAGUCGAACGGCACCCCUCUCCGGAGGGAAGCGAGUGGCGAACGGCUGAGUAACACGUGGAGAACCUGCCCCCUCCCCCGGGAUAGCCGCCCGAAAGGACGGGUAAUACCGGAUACCCCGGGGUGCCGCAUGGCACCCCGGCUAAAGCCCCGACGGGAGGGGAUGGCUCCGCGGCCCAUCAGGUAGACGGCGGGGUGACGGCCCACCGUGCCGACAACGGGUAGCCGGGUUGAGAGACCGACCGGCCAGAUUGGGACUGAGACACGGCCCAGACUCCUACGGGAGGCAGCAGUGGGGAAUCUUGCGCAAUGGGGGGAACCCUGACGCAGCGACGCCGCGUGCGGGACGGAGGCCUUCGGGUCGUAAACCGCUUUCAGCAGGGAAGAGUCAAGACUGUACCUGCAGAAGAAGCCCC